This 502-nucleotide ribosomal RNA is filed under the name uncultured bacterium. RNAcentral's name for it is "partial 16S ribosomal RNA". It matches the Rfam family "Bacterial small subunit ribosomal RNA", at positions 28 to 507 of the family's 1533-position model. The record is from RNAcentral.
GACGAACGCUGGCGGCGUGCCUAAUACAUGCAAGUCGAACGAACCGCGACUAGGUGCUUGCACUUGGUCAAGGUGAGUGGCGAACGGGUGAGUAACACGUGGGUAACCUACCUCAUAGUGGGGGAUAACAGUCGGAAACGACUGCUAAUACCGCAUAGGACAUAGGAUCACAUGAUUCUGUGAGGAAAGGUGGCGCAAGCUAUCGCUAAGAGAUGGACCCGCGGUGCAUUAGCUAGUUGGUAGGGUAAAGGCCUACCAAGGCGAUGAUGCAUAGCCGACCUGAGAGGGUGAUCGGCCACAUUGGGACUGAGACACGGCCCAAACUCCUACGGGAGGCAGCAGUAGGGAAUCUUCCGCAAUGGACGCAAGUCUGACGGAGCAACGCCGCGUGAGUGAAGGAGGUCUUCGGAUCGUAAAGCUCUGUUGUUAGAGAAGAACAGCGCAUAGAGUAACUGUUAUGCGUGUGACGGUAUCUAACCAGAAAGCCACGGCUAACUACGUG